RNA transcript from Gallus gallus (chicken), 5437 nucleotides. It is a transcript of the gene named coiled-coil domain-containing protein 81-like, with no coding region annotated. The record is from RefSeq and is a predicted model, not a curated record. The transcript is spliced from 8 exons. Lineage: Eukaryota; Metazoa; Chordata; Aves; Galliformes; Phasianidae.
AUCCUGAAGGAGCAUCUGGUAGAGAGCAGACGCACCUGAAGGGAUGAGCUCCGGCAUGGCUGGCGCCAACAAGGAGCAACCCGCUGGCACGAGGCGGAACAGGAUGAGCUUCUGCGAGGAUGGCCCCGCAGCGAGGCGUGCCUCCAUACCCACCUGCACCGACACCGAAGGUACACGGCUCCACAGCCACCACAGGAGCGCUGCUGCAGCCAAUCCUGGCACGCAGACGACACUUUCCAUCUGCCACCUCACUCCCGCCUGGCAGCGGGAGGGCUGCCGGGAAGCGGCAGGUGCAGAGUGUGACCUGCUUUUCCUUUGCCCUCCAGAGCGAGUUGCCGUCUGGGAUGCGGUGGCCGCCUACGUACAAGAGCACCUCCUGGUGCAGAAGGGGGUCUGGAUUCCCACCUUCGGAUCCUUUGACACCAUCUCCAGAGACAUCAGGACUGAGGACGGGACCGUGACUCUGCGGUGGCCCGUCUUUCACUUGUCUGGAAACCUCAUAGCCGUGCACCACCUCAAGCCCCGCAGGGAGUCCCUGCCAGCCCAUAGGAAGCUGGAGCCGCUCAAGAGCAGCGAGGUGGCUGCAGCUGCCUCUGUGACCUGGCAGACAGCGCAGGCUUGCAUCCAAAGCACCGUGUCCCUGCUCUCUGGCUGCCUGAAGAAUGGGGAGAACGUUGCCGUUGUCUUCAAGGACAUUGGAGUGCUCCACAUCGAUGGACUGACCUUCCACAUGAAAUUCUAUUACGACUUCCUUGAGAAGCUGUCAGGGAAAGAGAAGUUCAGGAAAGCUCUUCUCAAGGCCCCCUGGCUGCUGGACAUGGUGGUGUCCCGAGCGGCACCGGUGGCCUCCCUGGCACUCUCUGGCUGCCUCGUCGUCUUUCCCAAGUUUCAAAUGGAGUUUGUCCCCAAACCACCACCUGGGAUAUCCCGCAGGUCCUCAGGAGGCAUCCCUGCGGAGGGGAAACCAAAGGAAGAGGAGGCUUUGCCACCUCUCGCCCAGGGCAAGAAAGUGAGAUUUGCUGGCAAGCCAACUUUCAUCAAACGCUUGAGCUCGGACAGUCUAGAUGGAGGAAAACUCCGAAGGAUAAGGAGCUUACUGCGCAAGGAGAGCUCUACGUCCAGAAAUUCCCAUGAUUAUUUCCAACUCAUUUCCAGGCUGAUGGCUGCUGGUCCUGAAGAACCACAGAAUCACUAAGGUUGGAAAGACUGCUAAGAUCAUCACACCCAACCCCAGCCUACCCCACCAUGCUCACUAACCAUGUCCAUCACUGUCACAUCUCCAUGUUUCUUGAGCAUCUCCAGGGACAGUGAUUCCCCCACCUCCCUGGGCAGCCUGUGCCAGUGCCUUGGAUGGAAGGCCCUUGGACGGUGACCAAGAUGCUGGCUGUCGUGGUGGUCCUCUUUGCCCUUCUGUGGCUGCCAUACCGCACACUGGUGGUGGUGAAGUCCUUUGAGGACCCCCCCGUACCUCAACAUUUGGUUCCUCCUCUUCUGCUGGAUGUGCAUCUACCUGAACAGUGCCAUCAACCCCAUCAUCUACAGCCUGAUGUCGCAGAGAUUCAGAUCUGCCUUCAGGAAGCUCUGCAGGUGCGGAUGGAAGAGCACGGAGGUGCCCACACCACGCAGCGUCCCGGUGCUCUAUAGCAGAGCAAAGGAUGGCUCUCAGGGCAGCUCCGAGCAGGGCACCCACCAGGAUGACCUGAACGGUCCCCAUGCACCUGUGAGAAGCAGGGCUGCCAUGCACACACCGGGACCCUGACACAACGCAGGCAGCAGGAGCUGUGCGGCUGUGUGCACCACGCUGGGAAAGUGCCAACAGAAAUUGCUUGGGCAUUGCAACAAGCUUAAGUUAAUACCUCUCCAGGGCAUUUAACAGAACAGAUUCUUGGAGGCAAAAUAAUUUGCUUUUCCUUAAUGCUAAUUUAUUCUUGCGUGUUGAAGCGUUAGGCGCAGGUCAAUGUUCAGCAUCUCUAAAGAAUCUGUAGUUAAAUAUAGCAGUGCAACGCCAUUCUGUGUUAUGUGCAAGUGCAGCUGCUUGUUGAGUCAGGCCAGAGCAUGGGAAGGAAAUGCAGGAAGAGAAGGGCAGUCAAGGAAAACCUGUUGCCAGAGCAGAUUUCCUAGAGGGUGAGCUUCCCCUACCCAAACGUAGGAGGCUUCUGACAUGAGCUGCUCCUCCAGGGGUCUGUUGGAGUUAGCAGGACAAUGUGGCACUUUGUCCUCUCAUUCCAGGAAGAGAUGAAUGCACUCCUCUGGUGUGUUAUUUCCUUCCACCAACACCAAAGGGACCACUCUGCCUCUCCGAUGGAGACUCGUGCAUUACACGUGGCUGAAGCUGGGUGUCAUGAACCUCACCCCGUGCUUCUGUGCCAUUGCUGUGCCAACCAGCCCAAGGACACUUGCCCCAGGCUCACAAGCGACUCUCUGGACUGGGAGUAAAAUGUAAGAGAUCACACAGGAGGCAGAUGCCAAGGCUCCUGCCAAGCAAAACAAGAGGCAGCCACCAGUAACCCUGAAGUGACCGCACACCAUUCUUUGAGCAGCCAGUUCAGCCUCAGCAUCCACCACUGCUUCACAACAAACCAGAGCGUUUAAUCAGAACUUUACCUCUGCUUUGGAAAAGGUCUGUGUGACAUUUCAGAGCGGACACAAUCUUAAAAAACCUUUUUUGUGUCUAUGGGAAAUAACUGCCCUGGGCAAAGAGACCUCAUUCCAUGCAGGGAAGGGUUCAGGGUCUAUUUUGUUUCCGUGUGGCGUGGCUUUGCGUGUGUGAUUAUUAUAUUGUGAAUUAGUAAAUCAUCUAUUCGGGCUCAAAAUAACCAUAGGAUGAGGAAAGAGAGCACUGGUUUUGCUGGUAUUGAGGAAACAGUGUUUGUGUGGAAAUGGAGGUUUCAUAUCACAUAAUUUUGGUUUAUUUCUGAAUACUGGAUCUCGAGGAGCAAAGUUCCUCAUUAUUCGAAAGGAAGCUCUGCACAGAAAUUUCAGAGUUCCUUCGUGAAGAGAAGGGAAAUCCCUUUGCUGCAGUGCAAGAAGAGCACGACCCUUAAAGGAACGAGAAGUGAGCAAUUUGCUGCUAACGGUCUUCUCUAUCGCAGUGAUGUCUUCUCCCCUUAGUGCUGGAAAUUGCUUGCAAGAACCGUGUGCUCAGAGAGGAGAAGCGGGCUGGGGAUGUGUGCUCUGUGCAGAGCAGCAGAAAGGCAGCCCUGUCCUGCAGCCACACGGGGUGAGAAUUCAGUGCCUGAGCUGCAGAGCCCUCCUGUGAGCUGAGUUGGGGCACUGCUCGGCAAUGGGGCGCAGCCCAGCAAUGAAACAUCUCUGCAAACUCAUUUCUGUCUCCCCGUCACAUUUCCAGGCUCUGAAAUUUUUGUUCGGCAGAUUUGAGGUGCAAGUAAAACUCACUUCUCUUUUCCCCCUUCUGCCCUUAUCUGCCCAGGUACGGCGUGACUCUUUGCUAUUUCUCUAGAAGUAAUUGGCAGAUAAAUUCUCCAGAUACCACGAGACCUCUAGUAAAUGCACCAUUCUGCAGAUGAGAGCUCCUGAUCCUUCUCCCUGCACAUAUGCUGACAUGCUGGGACAGUCUGAGAGUGUUUUAGGUGGAACAGUGUUCCAUGUUUUAGGUGAAGAACAGCAUUCAGCUUGCCAGGGAGAUGCUGGUGGAGAGAAUGGGUAGCUGAACACUGCCGGGACAUAAAUCAUCAGUAGGAAGGAAUGACCAGAAAUACCUCUGAUGCUGAAGGCUCCAACUGAUGGCUCCCAGGGGAGCUUUGGCUGGAUGGAGGCUGAAGCCUCACCCCGGCCCUCCUCAUACAGGGCUGAAGGCCAGGAGGAGAUGCUCCUGCUCCCUGCAUAGACGGAUGGCGGAGUACGACUGUGCUGUCCCCGGGCUGGACAGGUCACUCUCAAAGGACAGCAGGGCUCAGAUUGCACCUUUCACCUCCCACCAGUGCUGCCCUUUGGUCACAGGAUCAGUGCCUCUGUCCCUGUUCUCAUGUUGAGCUGGGAGCGAUGCAAGGGACAUUACCCAAAAGCAGCAGCCCCUGAGGCAAAGCCCCAAGCACUGUUCCUUCACCCUGGGGAAGGGGCACGCUCAUCUUUUCUCCAUUACUAAUACUUUUGAAGCAAUACACCAUCGCUCCAGCAGGAGACCCACCUCCCUGAUGCCUCCACACAUAGCCAAAGAUCUGCUCCAUUCAUCAGCCUGAGAUUGAUGAGGUGCAAAGGGCUCUGGUUACCCUGCUGCCCCCUCCCUUCUCCCCAUGGCUGGGUGAAUGAGUUGCUGCUGGCUCCUCUGAUAUCAGAAGUAGAGAGCCCAGGGGAGAGCAAAGUCCUCAUUCCACCAAACUCAUCUCCCUAAGUCCUUACCAGAUAUUAUCCUUAAAGAUAUUUCAUCAUGACACCCCUUGCACCCCACAGAAGCAGGAGGGAAACCCUAUUGCCUGCAGAGGCUGAGCCUGUGUCACAUCAGCCCCUCUGCACAGCCCAGCCUUGCUCAUGUGAGACACUCCAGAAAUAGAAAAGGGAUUGAAGGUUUCAGCUAUUCUGCAUUCCUCCGGCCCCGGUGGCUCUGCCUGGCAGUGGGCUCUGUUCUCCCAUCCUUCUCCUAAAUCACUCUUGCCCUCACUACCAUUUCCCUGUCCCUCAUAUCUGGCUUUCCCAUUACUUUGUCCGUUCACUAUGAAAUUUUAGGGACUAAUAUGGAUGUAAGAGGCCAUGACUUCAGAUUUACUAGGAGCAAGUGAGUUUUUGCACCAGAAGGGCAGAUUGCUGACAGGCGUUGGCAUCCAUCCAUUUGUGGGCUUAUGGGGCUGAUGCUGCACAGGGUCCUGGGGCACUCCUGCGAUUGCCUCCUCUCUGUGCAGUCAGCCACAGUGCAACACUGCUCCUUUCCCCCAUUUGUGUCCUGACCACAUCCACAAGCCUUUAAGUCGGUGCAGAGGAACUGAGGGCGGCAGGUUAGCAAGAAUUACCCCUCUCCAAGCACAGAGGCAUGGUGCUGGGGGAGCAGGCAGCAGUGCAUGGUCUAGAAGAAAUGUGGCAGCAGCCCCAGGGGAUGGCAGGCAGCACAGACCUGUUGAAGGCAUACCGAUGGAGCUCUGAUUGUUGCAUGAACACAGCCCAGGUGGCUUGGUGCUGACACAUGGCUCCCAGAGCAUCGCUGUGUUUGGGAUGAGGCUUUAACAGCAGCACAACAGCACUGUCUGCAAUCUGCACCCCACAGCUGGCACACAGACUCUGCCAACCAGUUUCUGGUUGGUGAUGUUCUGUUUUCUUCCCUUGCUGGUAAUCCUGGGGGCACUCAGCACCACCAGCACUUUGUGCAGAGGCCAGGGCAGCCCUGAGUUCCCAGAGAGCCCAGAUCCUGCAGGCACUGACAGUGUGAGGCAUCCCAGGUUGGAGCCUGGCUCACCUCCUCCUCCACGUCUGGGGCUCUGACGGAUCA